This 341-nucleotide ribosomal RNA is filed under the name uncultured bacterium. RNAcentral describes it as "bacterial SSU rRNA". It matches the Rfam family "Bacterial small subunit ribosomal RNA", at positions 28 to 334 of the family's 1533-position model. The record is from RNAcentral.
GAUGAACGCUGGCGGCAUGCCUAAGACAUGCAAGUCGAACGAAGUGGCCUAUAGAAAGUAGAGUGCUUGCACGAAGCUGGAAAUAGAUUUCCACUUAGUGGCAGACGGGUGAGUAACACGUGGGUAACCUGCCUCAGAGACUGGGAUAACUAUUGGAAACGAUAGCUAAUACCGGAUGAUUCACAGAUACAAAAGUAACUGUGCUAAAAGGAGCUACGGCUUCACUUUGAGAUGGGCUUGCGUUGUAUUAGCUAGUUGGUAGGGUAAAGGCCUACCAAGGCAACGAUGCAUAUCCGAGCUGAGAGGCUGAUCGGACACACUGGGACUGAGACACGGCCCAG